Molecule: small RNA, 548 nt
Filed under: Pan troglodytes (chimpanzee)
Lineage: Eukaryota; Metazoa; Chordata; Mammalia; Primates; Hominidae
Description: unitary pseudogene
Source: RNAcentral
AUGGGGGGCCCAGGUUGUGGCAAAGGGACACAGUGCAAGAAUAUGGCGACCAAGUACGGCUUCUGCCAUGUGGGGCUGGACCAGCUACUGAGACGGGAGGCUCAAAGGAGCACGCAGCAGGGCCGGCAGAUCUGUGACAUCAUGCUGCAGGGGCUCCUGGUGCCCGCAGGCAUCAUCCCAGAUAUGGUCAGUGACAACAUGUUGGCCCGCCCGGAGAGCCGGGGCUUCCUCAUCGAUGGCUUUCCCCCGGGAGGUGAAGCAGGCCAUGGAGUUUGAGCGCAUCGUGGGCCGGGCCCCCAGUGUCCUCAUCGUGUUUGACUGCUCCAUGGAGACGAUGCUCCGACGAGUGCUACACUGGGGCCAGGUGGAGCACCGAGCACACGACUCGGAGCUGGCCAUCCACCAGCGCUUGGACACGCACUAUACCUUGUGUGAGCUGGUCUUGACCUUCUACCAGCGCAAUAACCUGCUCCAAAACAUCCCGGCAGAGGAAGCACCAGAGAACAUCUUUGCCAAGUGCUGCUCUGUCAUUGAAGAGUCUGCAGUGA